UGGGGCUGGGCUGGGCUGGGCUCGCGUUGGGCUCGGCCUGAGCUCCCGCCGGGCUCGGGCUGGGCGCGGGCUCAGGCUCGGGGUGUCUCCGGGUUGAUGUUCCCCGAGAUUCUCCUCGGGGUGGCCGUUCCCCGAGGUGGUGAAAUCUUCCCCCAGGGUUGCUGUUCCCUGGGUAUUUCCCUGGGGUUGCUGUUCCCCAAGAUAAUAAGGUUUUCUGUCUUCUCUUUGCCCUGAGCGUUUCACACCGAAGGCAGAGACGACACUGUGGGUCCAGCAGCUGAAGUUAUCAAGGAGGGAAGCGGAAAUCGUGACACUGCGGAAACGUGAAAAAAAAGUUUCAGCAUCCCCAGCUGUGGGGGACGGCCCCAGCGCCCGCCCCAGCCCCGGGACAAUGGAGCUGGGCCGCCACCUCCGCCUGUCCUGUGCUGCUGGAGCGACACCAGGGAGCCGGGGGGCUUCUGUCCCCGCCACUCUGAACACACCAAGCACAGAACCACCGGGCGCCUGGGGCUCCAAGGGGCCGCUGCAGGUAACCCAGGCCAAACCCCGCUCAAGGCUGAAAUUUCAGGAUUCAAAUGCCUCGGCGAAUGCUUUAACAUGCAAUUCACAUGGCCCAACAAAAUCUUUCCGAAGCAUGGUUACUGGGUCAUUACAUUUUUACUUUUCUUUAAAAUGUACAUUACUUUAAUGUACUUUUUUACACUUAGUAAAUAAAUAAGAUUAAUGCGCUUAA
Prinia subflava (tawny-flanked prinia) is the source of this 733-nucleotide long non-coding RNA. RefSeq lists it as uncharacterized. Lineage: Eukaryota; Metazoa; Chordata; Aves; Passeriformes; Cisticolidae. The transcript is spliced from 2 exons. The record is from RefSeq and is a predicted model, not a curated record.